This 835-nucleotide long non-coding RNA is filed under the name Neogale vison (American mink). Its description in RNAcentral is "Neovison vison (American mink) lncRNA (ENSNVIG00000016051.1)". The record is from RNAcentral. Lineage: Eukaryota; Metazoa; Chordata; Mammalia; Carnivora; Mustelidae.
UCCCAGACCCCUCACCUUCUGCCUCCCCUUGGUCGCGUCCGGGUCCCUGUGGAGCUAACGAUCUCGCCACGACGUCAAGAAAGACGUAACGUCGGGCCACUGUGGCCUCUGGGAAACGUAGUCCAGAGCCAGACCAGACGCAGAUAAGAUGGCGUCCUCAUACGGCGGAGUCUGAGUUUGGCCGUUUGACAUUGCGCCCGGGGGAGCUUCAAAGACGGAGUCCCUGCUCCAGACCUCCCACCAGGCUUCAGCUGAUUUUCUUCUAAAGCAGGACGACUCACCCUUAGAGCCCCAUAAUUACUGGAAGAAGCAGCCACGUUCGUGUGGGACAGAGUGCUGACCAGCAAAGCCUAAAGGGAAAUGUAGUUCAAGGCCGGAAAAGCGGCGUUGCUGUAGACCGAAGGUAAUCAAAUACCAGGCUAGGCCUGGCCACGGUGACCGUGAGGGCCGCGUCGCGGAGACUUCUGGGAGUGUUCGCUCGCCCUCGGAGUGCGCAGGCGCAGCGCGCCGAGUGGACAUUUUGGUCUUUGUCCGCGGGUCAGUCCGGCCCCUGGGUCCACGUGGCGCGAAAGUAGGAGCAAGCAAGACUAUUUCGAAGGCACUUUUUGUUGGUGGAAGAGCUUCAGACGAUCUCAAAUCUUCUGAUCUAAAGGGUUAUAAACUGACCAAACUGUAUCUGAUCCUGUGUUGGAAUAAGAAGACACUGGAUGGUGGAGAACCAAGUGGAAAGGAAAUUUGUUCAGGUGAGUGAAUGGCAAGGCAGGUCACCAUUGGUCAGGCAUCAUUGACACCUUUGAAAUACUCAGGGAUAUUUUCUUACAGGCCCUAGACUUGG